Molecule: long non-coding RNA, 813 nt
Filed under: Gossypium barbadense (sea-island cotton)
Lineage: Eukaryota; Viridiplantae; Streptophyta; Magnoliopsida; Malvales; Malvaceae
Description: long non-coding RNA (GBAR_LNC002638)
Source: RNAcentral
UGUUAAUAGACAUGGGUGUAAGUAGCCUAAUUUGCCCGGACCCAUCAGAAACAAUAAAAUAAAAUAAUUAAUUAAAAAAACACAGUCCAAAAUAGCUCAUUUACAGCCUUCACCAGCCCAAAUACAAAUUACAAUCCAAAUUUCAAAACCUAUUUUAUAAUAACACCAAAUUAAAACCCAAGCUAAACCUAAUUUAUGGGCCCAAUGGUCCAACUUCGAAACUGGCCCAAAUGGCCCAAGUACAUGGGACCUCGGAAACACUAGGGUUUCCCCUCUGUGCCGCAGUGACCUCCAGCGCGUCAUGGCCACGUCCACAGCUUUUUGUACGGUGGUUUCACUUGCAAAAAAGAAACAAAAUAACAGCAAAGAGGGGAGUAACAAUGUACAGUAAAUUGACAGCAAAUAAUAGAAAGGUCUAAGGGAAAAUUUCUUUUAUUUUUCUUUUUCUUUAUUCGGCUAUAAAAGGGCUGAAACCAACUAUUGUAUUUUUUUGGAUGAUACAAAAAAGAAAUAUAGUCAGAGAAGAUUAAAGGUGAUUCAUUGAUUGGUUCUUCGUUCUUAUUUUUUGCUUUUUAUUUUAUUUUAUUUUGAAUCUAUUUGACAAAUAUAUAUAAAAAAAGGGGAAGGUUUACUUACUUGUUGUUCGGUGUCAACCUAGUCGAUGUUUGCUCCUCCGAUCUAAGGGUAGACGGAUCCCUGGGUAUCCGGUUAAAGCCCCGUCGGAGAUGGAGACACAUUAGGUGUUGAUGAAGACCGCAAAUCGGAAGAGAAGGGGAGGAAAUGAGAGAGUUCUAAAGUUUUUAGGUUUUUUUU